AACGAACGCUGGCGGCAUGCCUAACACAUGCAAGUCGAACGAAGGCUCCGGCCUUACUGGCUCAUGGGGGCGUAACGCGUGGGAAUCUGCCCUUAGGUUCGGAACAACAGUUAGAAAUGAGUGCUAAUACCGGAGGCUGACGUAAGAUCAAAGAUUUAUCGCCUGAGGAUGAGCCCGCGUAGGAUUAGCUUGUUGGUGUGGUAAAGGCGCACGAGGGCGACGAUCGUUAGCUGGUUUGAGAGGAUGAUCAGCCACACUGGGACUGAGACACGGUCCAGACUCCUGCGGGAGGGGGCAAUGGUGAAUAUUGGACGAUGGGCGCAAGCAUGAUCCAGCAAUGCCGCGUGAGUGAUGAAGGCCUUAGAGUUGUAAAGCUCUUUUACCCGUGAUGGUUGUGACGGUAGCGAGAGAAUAAGCACCGGCUAACUCCGUG
Molecule: ribosomal RNA, 433 nt
Filed under: uncultured bacterium
Lineage: Bacteria
Description: partial 16S ribosomal RNA
Rfam family: Bacterial small subunit ribosomal RNA
Source: RNAcentral